This is an RNA transcript of Mizuhopecten yessoensis (Yesso scallop), 1188 nucleotides long. RefSeq lists it as uncharacterized. Lineage: Eukaryota; Metazoa; Mollusca; Bivalvia; Pectinida; Pectinidae. The transcript is spliced from 5 exons. The record is from RefSeq and is a predicted model, not a curated record.
GACAGUUUGGUCGUAGAAAGAAAAAGUUCAGAAAAAACAGUUCUGAUGCCGUAACUCCACAGAACAAUAAGGUGGAAUCAAAGGAGGAAGCAGAUGAAGAAGAGGAGGAAGAAGAAGAGGAGGACGGAGAUAUUUCAAACUACAAGAUUGAUUCAGAGGAGGAAGAAGAGGAGGAAGGGGAUUUAAGUAAAUAUGACUUGAACGAAAGUGAAGAAGAGGAUGACAAGAGAUCAAAUUCGUCUUCUAGUUCUUCUUCAAGAUCUAGCUCCUCCUCCUCAAGAUCUAGCUCCUCCUCCCGCUCUAGUUCGUCCUCAAGGAACCGAAGGAAGAGAAGCAAUAGGUCUAGGUCCAGGUAACUUGGUGGAAAGGGUAAAGGGUAGAGGUCAAAAGAUCUAAGUCUCCAAAAUCAAAGAAGCUCAAAGAACGGUCAAGGUCGCCAAGAGACAGGACGACAGGAUCCGGGAGGUCGAGGUCACGUUCUUCCGAGGACCGUCGACGUGACACCAGUAGAUCCAGGUCCUCCUCUCAUUCAGCUGGCAGCACCAGGGACGGAUCAAGGCGGUCGAGGAACUGAACCUGCGGAGAUGACGACAUCUACCAACAGUAUCCCCUGAUUGACUCGCUGCUGCUGCUGCUGAGGACCUUGUAUAGAAAGCUUAAAGAUUAACCAGACCACUCUCAUCUGCAGUCAACUGCCUCCCUAAUUGGAUUGAAAAUUUAGUAGAAAAUUGAAAUUAGAUCAAUUGUUACAUUAAUUUUCAUCAUUGUUUAUAAAGAUAAAAUAUUGAUUUUUUUUUCUAAAUGGAUCAUGGAAGGAAUACAUUCAAAAGCAAUAAUCUGCACAUUCAGAAAAAGCAUUUUGGUAUAGGUAAUAUUUUAAUAUAUAGUUGACUAUUGUUGGCAGACACCUUGGUUUCUAUGUAUGGUGGGAUUCCGUCUGUAUAGGCUCAAAAUGUCUGCGUACUUUGGAAUUUAUCAGACUGGCCACUGGGUUUCUACUGUUUUUUGCACACAGUGGAUCCUCUAAGUCUUGACAGUUUGCCUUCUUUGUAUGGUUUCUAUGUAGUAUAGCCUAGUUUAAUCCAGACAUUAUUGUUUCUGUGUACAAGUGGAUCCUUCUUAGUCAAGCCAUUGCCAUCCUCGUCACUCCAGGGGUUACACUCACUUUCGCUCUCUGAACCCCUGGAA